RNAcentral lists this microRNA (23 nucleotides) under Gallus gallus (chicken). Its description in RNAcentral is "gga-miR-1722-5p". The record is from miRBase by way of RNAcentral. Lineage: Eukaryota; Metazoa; Chordata; Aves; Galliformes; Phasianidae.
UGUCACCCUAAGACUGCUCUAAU